This is a non-coding RNA of Lolium perenne, 575 nucleotides long. NCBI's taxonomy places the organism in Eukaryota, Viridiplantae, Streptophyta, Magnoliopsida, Poales, Poaceae. The record is from RefSeq and is a predicted model, not a curated record.
AACUAAUCAAUUACUCAUUUACUCAUUAUUUUUUAUCGGGCAGGGCUUGGAAACGGUUCAUCAAUACUGUUCCGGGUGAAUGGAAACCGGAGCUUACAUUUAGAGAUUACCCUGUAAGUAGUACUAUAUAUAUAGCUAUGUCCGUGAAACUUUAUAUAUGAUAUUUACUUUCAAUACGAUGCUUGAUUAUUAGUUUGAUCGAACUAUUUUUUCGUAAAGUGUAUGAGGCAGGAAAAAGGGAAUAACUUAUGUGGAUACUACGUCUGCACCUUCAUGCGUGACAUGUCCUGUCCCAAGGGUGGGGAUGCCCAAAUACACCACACUCGUAUGACACGCCUGCGGGACACUCUCAUAACAGCGGAUCAAAUAAAAGCAAUUCAAGAGGAAAUCGCGGGAUUCUUUAUUACCGAGGUCCUUACCCCAGGUGGAGAGCACUAUCGGAAGAUCGUGACGUCGGACGAUAUUCGUUCAGGAAAAGUUGUAUUGUAAAUAUGCAUGCAUUACGUGUACUGUGUUGACUAUGUCGUGUACUGUUGACGAUGUCUAUAUAUAUUCAUGACGAUUUUUUGUGGUUU